CCAAAAGAUACAUUGUCCUCAAGGUUAUGUGUAGUAGUAAAUUCAUUUGAAGUGUCCAAGAAGGGUAUGCAAGUAGGGAAAUGUGUGGUGAUAUGGUGAGGUGGUGCAAUAUGGAUGGUGGAAGGCAUCAGAUCCUUUGUGAGAUGUAGAGAGGUUGAGGGGUCCAUUGAAAAAGGGUUGAUAGUAAAAGGUGAAGUGGUUUGUGGGGGUAACAGUAAAGGGGGAAAGUGGUAUCGUGGUUUGGUGAGCCUUGGAAACUGGUUUUGGAGAAAAUAAAAACUAUGGGGUCCAGGAAGGCAUUGGAGGGUCAAUUCAGGCGGCAGGAAGAUUAGAGCUAUUGGGGUACGUGGAAAAUGGUGAUGGAUUUUCUUUUAUCCAUUAGGAGGAAUGGUUUGGAUGGAUUUUUCUAGAGCCGUGUGAAAGCUGACAGUUGGGGUCUUUAUGGACACACAUUCUGCUUCUUAGGAAGGCACGUGGGAAGUAAAAAGGGGCCCGAGGUAUUGGAACAUGCGAAGUCAUUUUCCAAUACAAGAGUACUUGAUUCACUUGUUGGGAUAAGUACAUCAGAUUGGGAGUUAGAGGGUAAACCCAUUGCACUGUCGCAGUUCUCACUAAUUUUCUUCCAACCCUUCUCUGAUAUUUCCCUCUUUCCUUUAUUCUCAAAUUUUUCUUGUGAAAACCCAAGUUCAUCAUUCGCCGUGAAUAAAUUUUUUGUAACACAUGUAUCAUCUUCUACCAUUUCCUUUGAGCUAUGUUCCCUUGUAUUAUGACUCAUAUUUUUCUUUUCGUUUGCUUUAGCCUCUAAAUCUAAGGGAAUGGGAAGAAAAUCAGAUAAAUGAUUGGAACCAUGGUAGAUGCCCAUUUGAGAAACAUGAAUAACUGGGUGGAUCUUGGAAGAGGGAGGGAGAUCUAGCCCACACCCCACCAAACCGAUACGACACAACAAUUUGAAAGGUCCAAAUUAGCAUGGAGAUAACUUAUGUGAAGCUCUCUUCUGCAUCGAAACUUGACGAUAUGACUUCAAAUGGAGUAGGAAGACGUCACUGAUCCCAAAGGUCUGCCAUAAAUCGCUUCACCAUUUGCUUCAAAAGGGGACAUGCCAAUGGCCAAAUGGUGAGAAGAAUUGUACCAAAACUCAGCAAGGUGAAGAAGUUUGAACCAUUUGUGUGGUUGGUCGUUUGUGAAGCAACAGAGGUAAGUUUCUAAACUUCUGUUCACUACUUCUAUUUUCCCGUCCAUUUCAGGGUGAUAAGACGUACUGUGUUUCAAGGUAGUACCCUGUAAGCAGAAAAUUUCUUUCCAAAAAACACUGAGGAAAAGAGUAUCUCGAUCGAAAACGGUCGACUUUAGGACACCAUGAAGGAGACGUAUCUCGAAAGAAAAACGAAUGGCAAGAUCUGGUUCUUUAAAACGUGUAGGUAGUGCUAUGAAGUGCACGAAUUUGAUCAAGCGGUCACAGAUGACCCAAAUUACUGUGUGGCCGAAGGAGGAUGGUAAGUGGGUUAUGGAAUCCAUUCUUAACUCCUCCCCCACUUGUCUUGGAACUUCUAAGGGGUGUAGCAAUCCUUGUUUUUUUAGCAUAUACUUGUGUUUUGGCAUAUGAAACAACAUUGAACAAAUAUGUUGAGGUCUUUGUACAUACCAAGCCAGUUAAAAGAUGCUGAAAGUCGAGCUAGUGUUGGUUGGAUUCCGGAAUAACCUCCGUUGGGGGAGGGGGUUGUAUUAAUAAUUCUUCUUUUGGUUCUUGAGUUUCUCCUCGAAGAAAAUCUCUAUUUUGGUUCGUGAAGAUUAACCUGGAAGGAAAGCUCUAUUUUAGUUUGUGAAGAUUAGACAUUAAAAUCUACGCAAUGGUUCUUGAGCUCAUUCCGGCGUAAAAGCUUUGUUAGUUCAACAUUAGCUUGUGUAAAAUCUCAUCUUGGUACCUGAGCUCAUCUCGGAGUAAAAGAUUUGUCGGUUUUAGAUUAUCCUAUGUAAAAUCUCAUCUCUGUUUGAAGGUCAGCCCAUGUAAAACCGCGAUUCGGUUCAGAGGACAACCAACAUAAAAAUCCAUCCCCUUUCAGAGGAUAGCCAGUUUAAAACUACAUCUUGGUUCAAGAUAAGCCCUUGGAAAAUCUAUGUUUAGUUUGGAGGAUUGUCACUCUAAACCAUGUUCGUUGUUUGGUUGAAAGUUAGCCUUUAAAUUUCAUAUCCAUGUAAAAGGAGGUUUGUAGGCAUAUCCAAUUGAAACCUCUCAAAAUUAGUGGAUACUUUCAAGAAUAAUCUUUGGGGUCAGAAGAAGGUCAAGUUAGGCCAAACCUUUAUAAAUAUAUUGUGAAUUUGUCUCUC
Long non-coding RNA from Lathyrus oleraceus (garden pea), 2325 nucleotides. RefSeq lists it as uncharacterized. The transcript is spliced from 2 exons. Lineage: Eukaryota; Viridiplantae; Streptophyta; Magnoliopsida; Fabales; Fabaceae. The record is from RefSeq and is a predicted model, not a curated record.